Long non-coding RNA from Brassica napus (rape), 2781 nucleotides. RefSeq lists it as uncharacterized. The transcript is spliced from 2 exons. The record is from RefSeq and is a predicted model, not a curated record. NCBI's taxonomy places the organism in Eukaryota, Viridiplantae, Streptophyta, Magnoliopsida, Brassicales, Brassicaceae.
UAAACUUAAAAUUCUCAUAUAUUUAAUGGUAAUAAACUAUAACAUAAAACACAUAUGUCAAAUUAUAUAGAGAUAUAUAUUAUCAUAAACAUGUUAUUAUAUUUAGAAAUAAAUAAUAUUCAUAUAAUAAUUAUUUUAUUCACUAUCUUUUUACUAUCAUGCCAUUAAUAAUUUUUAGAUUAUAUUGAUUAAAUUUUCAACAAAAUAUUUAAACGAAUCAAAUGACAUGUAUAAUUAAUUUAUUUAAUCAAAGCUUUAUUUGACUAUAAAUUAGUAUUAAGCAUGAUAGGGAAUAUAAACUUAUCUCGAUAGUAGAAGUAAAACAGGAAUUGGUAAUCUGGCAUGAAGAUGAUCUUUAAAACAUUUUCUGUUUUUCGGCUAGUUAGAAUCUCAAAUAUACAUAACCCUGCAAUACUUAAAAUUGCUCAUAAAACAUGGCUAUAUUGAUAUGUUAGUAAACAUCAAUAUAUAAUAUCAAAAUUAAUUAUGUAGCAUUAUCCCAAUAUUAUUACUAACAAUACAUAAAACAUGAGUAGUAUUCAUGUAUUGACAGCAAUAGGUCAAACUCAGACUCAUAUUAUAUUGCUAAAAGAACAAAGUAUAUAUGUGAAUAAUAAUACUAUGACUAUGUCAUGUGUUAACAGUAUGAAUGAAUUAAGUAAUGAAACAGUAACCAUAUAUACUAACGUGAUAACAUCAACACAUAUGACAAUAAAGAGUAUCAACUAUAGCAAGAAAUGAUUCGUAAGUUUUAAUUGUAGUUAUACAUUCUAACUUUUAGUUCACAGUUUCAACAAUAAAAAUAGUUAAGAUAGCUAUCUAUAUAUAUAAAGUAUGGUUUGCUCUCUCCUGGGGGCAUGCCACCUCUGAUUCCAUGUCAUAAAGUCGUGCUCUGUGGUGACGACACGUGUCCCUGUCAUAAAAUCUUUGUUGAGUUUUUGUUUAGAUACGAGAUGGGCCUUGCUGUUGGAGUUUUGUCUUAGGUUAUUUAGGUUUUAAUGUACAAAAGCCCAGCCCGUUUGUGAGCUAAUCUUCUCACGACAUCUACCAGUUAGGGUUCACCUCUUCUCCGAUAUCUGGAAAGCUUCAACAACAAUGGUGACUUCUGAUGGGUAUUUUUUUUUGCGGUAGAUCUUCAUGGAGAAUCUCUCAUCGAGCUCAGUUCGUUUCGUGUAUACUGGGAUUCUUCUCUUCCGAACCGUUACAUAAUGCAUUGAAUCAUUACCAUUAACGAACGUCUUAACUCUUCGAUCCACUCUUCCUCAUUCAAUGCAUCUGCACUCUCUUCCAAAAGAUGCAUCUGCAACUAUAAAAAGGUAAUCCUUCGUACCGUAAACAUCAUCCUAAAAAAAUUCUCUCUUUGAGAUCUUAUAAGGUUUUCAAUCUAAGAAAGUUUAGAUUUUUAUUGGUUUCUUGCUAUUCUCCUUCAGUUAAUUUGUUUGUUUCUAAUUUACAUUCUUAUGCUCUUUGAGUUACUGUUGAUUUCUUCUAACUUGAUCGUUUAUGAUUUUGCAGAAUCUUUCAACUCUUAUGCCAAAGAUACAGUUUUGGAUGUUCAACUCUUAUGCCAAAGAUAUCGUCUUCUCUUUUUAAGAGAAGUUAAUAAAGGAUAUUUUUUUGUGGUCUUUUAUGAGAUUAGUUCUCUGCAAGACAUUAAUGGUUUGAUGGUUAUGACGAGAACUCAAUAUGAAUGUGGCAUAGGAAAAGUUGUCUGGUAGGGUGCUUAAAAAAAGUUCAGAGCUGGGUUUUACUAUCGGUGAGUAUAACAAGUUGCUUAGCUUCAAGUUCUUUCUCGAAAGCACACUGCUUUGUUCAUCAUCGUUAAAGCCUAUAUUAACAUUUCCAACUUUCUCUUUAAGGUGAAAUUGUUAUAAACAUGGUUGUUGGAGGUGAAGUAACCACUCUCAAAGGCCUUGAAGAAAUCAGCGGCAUUAUCAUCACAGAGAUGCUAAUCAAUGUUUCUGAGAACUUACAAAAAUUUAAGGACUCCUAUGAUCUGAAGAAUACCAUCAAAAUUUGUUUGAUGUCUCUUGAGCUUCAAAUUAUAUGUUACCUGACCUUCUCUGUAGAAUCAAUUGUUUGUGUUAAACUACAGAAGAUGUCUCCCUGUCUCUCUGUUGCACUUAGCCAUUAAGUUGAUCACUAUGGUCUACAAGUAUGCGUGUUUUAAAUUGGAGGUGGAGACGAAGGGAAUCAAAUUCACGGAGACAUUUGAUAUCGUGCUCUCAUUCCUAAUCAUCUAAGCAAAUUUAUAAAGAACUUUGUACUUCUCUCUCAAAACCUUUCUAAACACCAAAGUGAGAUUUUAAAUAAUGUACUAACUGUUUUUAUUCUUUUCACUUAUAAAAGAAAAUAAUCAGAAAAUAACGUAAAACAAACAAAUGCAUGAGCUAUUUGUCUUUGUUAAACGUAUACAAAAUUCUCAAUAUUAACUUCAAGACAUUUAAUAGUCGGUUAACUUUAUUGGUAAAAUGAUAGUGAUUCGUUGUGACUUUUCUAUUCCACAAAGGAUAAAACAAUUGUUGUGAAAUAUUUUUUGUUUAUAGUAUAAAACAAUUAUUAUUGCAAUAAAUAUUUUCUACUUCAUCAAAUUCAAGCCAAGGAAAAAAUGAAUGAAAUAAUCAAAGGUUAUCCUUUUCCUGACCAAAUUCAAAUUUAGAUAAAUUAAAUAUUUAAUAGAAAACCAAAAAGAAAAAAAUAACACACCAUCAAAAAUAAUUUUGUAAACAAUUAUCCAAAAUAGUAAAUAUAAAAUAAAUAGAACUACAAUUUAGUGAAAUA